UGGGGAAUUUUGGACAAUGGGGGAAACCCUGAUCCAGCCAUCCCGCGUGUGCGAUGAAGGCCUUCGGGUUGUAAAGCACUUUUGGCAGGAAAGAAACGUCAUGGGUUAAUACCCCGUGAAACUGACGGUACCUGCAGAAUAAGCACCGGCUAACUACGUGCCAGCAGCCGCGGUAAUACGUAGGGUGCAAGCGUUAAUCGGAAUUACUGGGCGUAAAGCGUGCGCAGGCGGUUCGGAAAGAAAGAUGUGAAAUCCCAGAGCUCAACUUUGGAACUGCAUUUUUAACUACCGGGCUAGAGUGUGUCAGAGGGGAGUGGAAUUCCGCGUGUAGCAGUGAAAUGCGUAGAUAUGCGGAGGAACACCGAUGGCGAAGGCAGCCUCCUGGGAUAACACUGACGCUCAUGCGCGAAAGCGUGGGGAGCAAACAGG
RNAcentral lists this ribosomal RNA (429 nucleotides) under Acidobacteriota bacterium. RNAcentral's name for it is "Acidobacteria bacterium partial 16S ribosomal RNA". It matches the Rfam family "Bacterial small subunit ribosomal RNA", at positions 355 to 776 of the family's 1533-position model. Lineage: Bacteria; Pseudomonadati; Acidobacteriota. The record is from RNAcentral.